Long non-coding RNA from Seriola aureovittata, 911 nucleotides. RefSeq lists it as uncharacterized. The transcript has 3 exons. NCBI's taxonomy places the organism in Eukaryota, Metazoa, Chordata, Actinopteri, Carangiformes, Carangidae. The record is from RefSeq and is a predicted model, not a curated record.
AGGCAGCAGUAAGCUAGCAAACUACACAGAUUUAUCAUCUUUGUGCAAAGUGAGCUGUAAACUUUAGAAGUUUGGGGCAGAUUAUUGUUAACGCAGUAGAGCAGCUCCUUUCAGGAAUAGAUCAGUGCGUAGGUUGUGUGCGUAGAGGGAGAGAGCCGUGAAACUGGCGACCGGAGUAGAGUUAGCUUGUUAGUUAGCAGUGAAGCUGUGAACUUAGCAGUGCAAUGCAUGUGCUCUUUAGGCUUUAUGCUGUUUGUGCUACAACUACAACUACAACUACAGCUACAGCUCCUCAAGACUGAAGUACCUGUGUCCCUGUGCUUCCCAAUUACAGUCCAGACUAUGAGCCAGGAAAGGUUAAAAACACUGAGGCAGAUAAAUACAGGACUCUAUAUUGUCACUGGAGUGCGUCAUUGUCAGUUAAUGACAGCAAGGAGAAGAUGUCCAAGCAGAGAGCAGCAAGAUGCAGGAGAGGUACUUACAGCACAGGAAAGGCAGGAGGCACAAAAACAUCAGACAGGACGAACCCUGAAUUUAAGAGACUUGCUGCUACUACUGUCAUGAAAAGGGAGAAUUUAGUGGAAAUGAAAAGGGGACAGAGCCAGACACAGCAGGAUAUCUUCCUAAGAGCAAAUUCUCUUCGAGUCAGACAGACACAGUGCAGUCGAGUGCGGGUCAGAGCCAACCUUCCACCAGGCAGGGCCAAAAAACAAGCAGCCAUGGACCUGCCAGCACAGGUCAGAGCCGGCACCAGUGAUGCCUCCACCAGCAGCCAUCAGCAACAGGUGAAAGUCAAAACACAAGCCUGUUCUUUUUAUUCCUUUUUCACAUUCACAACCAGUUCACAAGCUACCACCUCCAAGAUAAAUACUUUAACCAUGGUAAUUGAUACGGUUUUUUUUUAAAGAUAU